AGUGAACGCUGGCGGUAGGCCUAACACAUGCAAGUCGAACGGCAGCACAGUAAGAGCUUGCUCUUACGGGUGGCGAGUGGCGGACGGGUGAGGAAUAUAUCGGAAUCUACUUUUUCGUGGGGCAUAACGUAGGGAAACUUACGCUAAUAUCGCAUAUGACCUACGGGUGAAAGCAGUGGAUCUUCGCACCUUGUGGGAUUGAAUGAGCCGCUGUCGGAGUAGCUAGAUGGCGGGGUAAUGGCCCACCAAGGCGACGAUCCGUAGCUGGUGUGAGAGGAUGGUCGGCGACACGAGAGCUGAGACGCGGUCAAGACGACUGAGGGAGGCAGCAGAGGGGAAUAUGGGGCAAUGGGGGCGAGCAUGAUCCAGCGAGACCGAGUGGGUGAAGAAGGCGUUCGGGUUGUAAAGACCUUUUGUGGGGAAAGAAAAGCAGCAGGUUGAUACGCAGCGGUUGUGACGGUACCGAAUGAAGAAGCACCGGCUAACUACGUG
This 492-nucleotide ribosomal RNA is filed under the name uncultured bacterium. RNAcentral's name for it is "partial 16S ribosomal RNA". It matches the Rfam family "Bacterial small subunit ribosomal RNA", at positions 30 to 507 of the family's 1533-position model. The record is from RNAcentral.